RNA transcript from Cucurbita maxima (winter squash), 1507 nucleotides. It is a transcript of the gene named omega-amidase, chloroplastic-like, with no coding region annotated. The record is from RefSeq and is a predicted model, not a curated record. The transcript has 13 exons. NCBI's taxonomy places the organism in Eukaryota, Viridiplantae, Streptophyta, Magnoliopsida, Cucurbitales, Cucurbitaceae.
UCCACUGGUUCCAUCUCAAAACGACGUGGUAGCGAAACUUGGUAGAGCUGAUCAUUCAAACGUCGUCGUUUGAUCUGGAGAUGAAAGCGGCCAUUUCUUCGUUGAUUAGCUUCAGAAAUUUCGAUCUCCACGAACCUUCCCUCUCCCGCUCUAUUUUCCGGCAGCUCUCUCUUCUUCUACCGUCUCAGUUCCCGGUCAUAUCCACCGACGCCAAGGUCUACGGCGCCAAUUUUACCAAUCUGCACCAGAAGUUCCGUUUCCACUCUAUCAAGACCUCGCCGAUUAUGGCCUCAUCCUUCAAUCCCGAGCGAGCUACAUCUCCGCCUGCAGUUCCGCCGCCGGUACCUCCAGUCACCAAGUUUAAAAUCGGGCUAUGUCAAUUGAUGGCGACGCCUGAUAAGCAAAGGAAUAUUGAACAUGCUCGUAAGGCCAUUGAGGAGGCUGUGGGAAAGGGCGCCAAGCUUGUUGUCUUGCCGGAAAUAUGGAAUGUUCCUUAUUCACCGGAUAGCGUAUCACUUUAUGCCGAGGACAUUGAAGCCGGUGGUGAGGCCUCCCCUUCAACAGCAAUGUUAUCUGAAGUUUCUCGUCGUUUAAAAGUCACAAUAGUCGGCGGCUCAAUUGUAGAGCGCUCGGGGGAUAAAAUAUAUAAUACUUGUUGUGUUUUUGGCACUGACGGAAACAUGAAAGCUAAACACAGGAAGAUACAUCUUUUUGAUAUUGAUAUCCCUGGAAAAAUCACUUUUAUCGAGUCCAAGGCUGUCGCAGCAGGUCAAACACCUACUGUUGUGGACACAGAAGUUGGACGUAUUGGUAUUGGAAUCUGUUAUGACAUUCGUUUUCCAGAACUAGCCAUGAUAUAUGCUGCAAGAGGUGCUCACUUGAUUUGCUGUCCUGGGGCAUUUAACAUGACCACUGGACCAUUGCACUGGGAGUUAUUGCAGCGCGCAAGGGCUGUAGAUAAUCUGUUGUAUGUGGCAACAUGUUCACGUGCUCGAGGUGUUGAUGAUAGUUAUGUAGCUUGGGGCCACUCAACCCUUGUUGGGCCGUUUGGGGAAGUGUUGGCUACAACUGAACAUGAUGAAGCAAUAAUCAUAUCUGAGAUUGAUUAUUCGCUUAUUGAGCUUCGAAGGACUAACCUACCACUUCUGAAGCAAAAACGUGGGGAUCUUUACCAGUUGGUAGAUGUUCAGAGGCUGAAAUCCGAAUGAAAGGCCAGGGUUUAAAUGACAGACAAUUCCUUGGGUUGAAUUGAAUGCAAAGGGAGAAACUUGACUAAAGUGAUGUUGAAUCUAACAAAUAACAGCUAAUGCAGACUUUGCAAUCCUAGGGUGGCCCACUAAAGCGUAUGGAAACCCAAAGGGAAUGAGCAUCAUGGCCCUUGGAAUUUAGUAUUCACCUGGUUGUAUUUAACGUAAAUGUCACGUUACAUUAGCUACAAAUACAUUUUGUUUAACAUUUUACGGAGAUCCAAAUGAAAUGGGAAUAGAAGCUGAAAGUGACAAGCGAA